This is a microRNA precursor of Medicago truncatula (barrel medic), 91 nucleotides long. It matches the Rfam family "MIR2617 microRNA precursor family". Lineage: Eukaryota; Viridiplantae; Streptophyta; Magnoliopsida; Fabales; Fabaceae. The record is from Rfam.
AUGAAGUGUGACAUGCCCGUUUGGGAUUAUUACUCUGAUUCGUGUUUAUUUUAUUAAAUAAUUGAUAUUGGGAACGGGGUGUUACACUGAG